UUGAGCCGUGUGCGGUGAAAGUCGCACGCACGUUUCUUAGGGGACGGAGUGGCCGUAAGGUCACCCUGUUACCCGAC
Molecule: non-coding RNA, 77 nt
Filed under: Thiorhodovibrio frisius
Lineage: Bacteria; Pseudomonadati; Pseudomonadota; Gammaproteobacteria; Chromatiales; Chromatiaceae
Source: RNAcentral